This 1456-nucleotide long non-coding RNA is filed under the name Canis lupus familiaris (dog). Its description in RNAcentral is "lncRNA (ENSCAFG00040023988.1)". Lineage: Eukaryota; Metazoa; Chordata; Mammalia; Carnivora; Canidae. The record is from RNAcentral.
GCGGCCGCAUACCAGCCCGGGCGGGGCGCCCGCGGCCCUGCUGCUCGGCGGCCGCCCCGCCCGCCCGCCCUGCCCCGCGCCGCUUCCUGCCUCCGGGUCCCCGCCGCCGCCCGCCGCCCGCCCGCCGCCACCUGCCCCGGCCGCCCCGCUCCAGGGUCGCCCCUCCAGCCGCACUACUCGGAAACUUGGUAACCCCGUCCUCGAGGCAUCUCACACCAGCCUCGGCUGAGAGAGUGAGUUAACAGGCCUAGAGGAGCCACCGAAGUGCCCAAGUCUGUGUCAGCUGUUACAAGUAAGGGCAGAAGAGGACAACUUCACCCGUGCGAGCAAAUGGUGGCCAACCAGUUCAAAAGGCUACGAUUCUGAGCAUGGGGUGGAAUUUGAUGGGUCACACCAAAGAGUAGCCUACAUUGCUAAUGCUAUGCUUCCACCCUUUGCACCUUACCAUCAAGGUAAAAGCUGUGAAAUGCAUUUUUUUUUCUUGGCUUGUAAUGGAUAACUAAGAAGUGUAGAAAGAAGAAGGAGGAUGCCUAUAUAAUUUUAUACACAUAUGUACAUAAAAUGUAUACAUAGAAAUAAAUACAUAUAUAUAAAAUAUGUAUUUAUAUAUACAAUCUGGCUCUGGUAUCAGAACAAUAUCAGCCUCAUAAUAUGAGUUUGAAAGUGUCCUAUUUUGUGUAGAGUUGGUCUUAUUUCUUCCUUAAAUGGAUAGAAGAAAGCACUAGUGAAGCCAUCUAGGCCAUAUAGACCUGGAGUUUACUAUACAUGAUAAAAUAUCCCUUCUUUUAAGAGGUCUUUGUAAACCUCCCAAGUGAGUAUUCAUCAACUUAUUUAAACAUUGACUGAGCUAGAAGUACUGUGUACUUUGAGCACACAAUGAAGCUCUCCAAUCUAAUAGAACCCAACUGACAUGACAUGUGCUUAACUUUGGAGUCACCUGAAAAAGCUCUUUGGCCUUCAGACUGUUUGUUUUAUGGGAUGUUUUGUUAUGUAGUCUUAUAAAUGACAUGCAGAUUGGCUGAAAAUAGCUACCAUUUGACAGUCUAUAAUAGGUUAAAACCAGAUGCCUGGCCAAAAAGCACUUGAAAGAUGCUCACCAUAGUAAUCAUUAAGGAAAUGCAAACCAAACCCAAUAAGAUGUCAUUUCACAUCCAUUCAGAUGGCCACUAUUAAAAAGACAAAACAAGGGCAGCCUGGGUGGCUCAGCGGUUUAGCACCGCCUUUGGCCCAAGGUGUAAUCCUGGAGACCCGGCACUGAGUCCCGCGUCCAGCUCCCUGCAUGGAGCCUGCUUUUCCCUCUGCCUGUGUCUCUGUCUCUGUCUCUCUCUCUCUUUCUUCUCUCUGUGUUUUCUCAUGAAUAAAUAAAUAAAUAAAUCUUUAAAAGAAAAAAAAAAAGACAAAACAAAAACAGAAAAGCCUGAGGGGCAGGCUUCAGACUUAGCAGAUAUCUAAUGGC